GUUCCCGUUCCCCCUGGACCGAUUCCCAUGCAUCCGUCAUUGCAGCCCUUCACCUUCUUUGGAAAUCAGAAUCCUGGUGCCAUUCCCAACCCCUGUUCCACAUUUGUCCCAUAUACUGCUGCUGCCAAUCAUCCGAUCGAUCAGCCCUCUGCCCAUUAUGCUUCCAAUUCACAUGUAUCUAGCAAACAAGAUUCCAGAAGUAAAUCAUCAGAUCAG
This 216-nucleotide unclassified non-coding RNA is filed under the name Hevea brasiliensis (rubber tree). Lineage: Eukaryota; Viridiplantae; Streptophyta; Magnoliopsida; Malpighiales; Euphorbiaceae. The record is from RNAcentral.